UCGUCUUCUUUGAUCUUUGCUUUGGGAGAACAUGGGCUAUCUCUUUUUCAUUUUUUUCAGGUGGGUAGUAGAUACCCCUAAUUCUACUGUCGGACACUUGUCCAUUUUUUCCGCUCAGGUGGGCAUUUUUGUACACCUAAUUCUACUUCGGACACUUGUCCAUUUUUACAUCUCGUCUCACUCUUUUUCUUUCUUUUUCGAGGUUCCGGGCACUAGCCCCUUUUUAUUUCCUCGCAUAUUUU
Molecule: long non-coding RNA, 242 nt
Filed under: Sorghum bicolor (sorghum)
Lineage: Eukaryota; Viridiplantae; Streptophyta; Magnoliopsida; Poales; Poaceae
Description: long non-coding RNA (SBIC_LNC004542)
Source: RNAcentral